This 3710-nucleotide long non-coding RNA is filed under the name Homo sapiens (human). RNAcentral describes it as "HSALNT0156370". The record is from RNAcentral. Lineage: Eukaryota; Metazoa; Chordata; Mammalia; Primates; Hominidae.
AACUCUGGGUGACCUGACCACACCGGGUCUGUGUUCCCAAGUGCCGCCGGAAGCUGACUGCAGCUGCCCCCUGUAGCCAGGGCAUGUGUGGGGACUGCUCUGACAACUGUCCCCCACUCCCGCAGUGCCCAGUGCCCGACACCCUGGGGAGUCACUGCCACCCCGGAGGGGCCACCAAUUCAACAUGUGACAACCCGAAGUGGAGGGAAGCAGAGGAGGAAGAGACGGAGGGGGACACACAGAUGGAAACUGAGCCCAAGAACCAAGAGUGAGCCUGAGGACCACAGCGAGGGACAGCGGGAGAGGGAGGCAGCAGGCAGACGGAGGCGAGGAGCGAUUCCUUGGGCAUCUUAAGUCACUCUCUGGCCCCUGAGCAGCUGUCUCGUUUAGGGAAAAGCCCACCUCCCCUGCCACUGGGUUCCUGGCAACCUCUGGUGGCUUCUUCCUCCUCCUUCUGCCGCCAGGAUGCAGGGGUCCCCACAGGCGAGAGGCUGAACUCAGAGCUGGCCAGGUGAGAAGCGAAGCACCGAACCACUGAAAUCUCCAGGAGACCACACUGGGUGGCAGAUGUGACAGCAACCCUCUGACCUCACGGGGCGCUGCCGUCCCAGCACAACCAGAACAAGGUGUGCCGAUGCCGGGAGCAGUGCAAACGGCCCUGGACGGGGAUGCAGAGGGCUCCGGAUCAGCCUGGGGCUCGCUGUGGGGCCCUGCUGUCAUCCCUUGGAAAUGGGUACACCCCCGGCAUAUUGAGGGGGAGGCACGCAGAGGAACAAACGUGAUAAAUGCAUCCAUGGGCUGCAAAUCGGGGGCCGCUCGGACAGCUGUCCCCCACUCCUGCAGUGCUCGCUGCCUGGCACUGUGAGGAGUCACUGCCACCCCCGAGGGGCCACCAAUUCAACAUGUGACAGGCCGAAGUGGAGGGAAGCAGAGGAGAGAGGAAGACAUAGAGGGAAACUGAACCCAAGACCCAAAAGUGAGCCGGAGGACCACAGCGGGAGAGGGAGGCAGCAGGCAGACGGAAGCGAGGAGACAGGGCGCAGAGGGGCUGCGGGGGGUGCUGGGCACACCUGGCUGAGGAAGGGACCAAAGGCCCAGAGGGUCCCAUAGUCUCAGCCUAGUACCUGUCCCCAAGCCCAGGGGCCCUGAUCACAAGGCAGCAACGUCUAUCCCACAGCUGUGAUAGGUGGGGCACAUCACACCCCGAGGGGCCCCGGCAUCCAUGAUCUCCCCUCCUGGAGGGUGGUCAGCCGCCAUCCUGGCCCCGGACUCCUUGGAAAUGCUCCACAAAGUGCCAGCUGGAAAUGUCACAGCACAGGGGGCCUUGGGAUGAGCCAGCCCCAAGGGGCCAUUCUUUCCUGUGGGUUUGGGGAACUCUUUUAAGAUCUGGAGUGCAGAUUCGGGUUCCAGUGCCUGCUCUGUGUCUUCCUAGCCUUAGUUUCACCUCCUGGGGCCUCAAUUUCUCCAUCAGUAAAAUGGGGACAGUAACCGUCAUAGCACCAGCUCUCAGGCUUCUCAGGGGAGCAGACAGUGAAGCAGUGCACAGAAGUCCUUGGUAAUCCAAGAAGCACCCUCUGGACGGAGCUGCCAGGACAGCCCGCAGCCACCCUGGACUGACCCGUGGGGCUGGGGGCAGCUGGGGAGGCCAAGCGUGUGCACACGGGCACCAGCAGCAGAGCAGACCCCCAGUCUCCUCUCUCAUACCCGAGAUGGGAGAUGAAGACUCCCCUGUGAGUUCCAAACUCCUCCAACCAGUUCUGGCAGGGAAGAAAGGGAGUCCUGGGAAAGCAACUCCCAUGCCUGGGGCUCGGCGGUGACCCACCCAGCCCCUCCCCGGCAGAGGCACUGGUUGCCCUGGAAACUCACCUCGGUGGUGGCCGGUGCUGGCAGAGGUGCCAGCCAAGGUGUCGGGCUUUGGAGAGCGGCACGACGGGCGACGGCCCUUCUCCUGGCGGUCACCACAGAGACACAGGCAAAGAACACAGAGCCCUUCCUCCCCCUGGGCACGGCAGGCCUGGCACAAACCUGGCCUGCUUCCCGGGCCAUGGUGGGGCGAGAGCCAGGUGGGGAGUGGGCCCUGCGGGAGGCCCUCUGCCAGUGUGCUCGUCGCCUGCGUGCCCUAGUGGAGUGGAGCACCCGAGUGCCUGGGCCUGGUGUCACCCGCGUGGCUGUCAUACCUGCUGCUGUGACAGGCAGGACCAGGAAUUCCCGCUUGUACCAGGCCAUGGGCCAGCCGAGGACGAGUGGAGAGGCUGCCCCAAGCUAGCCUAGCUUUCUCCCUUAAUUCUCCAAGUCCCCACUCCCAUUCCCCCUGUGUCGGGGGCCUGGAAACCACCACACAGAGCCAGAAAGGUGACAGAUACAAGUAACCAAAUCAAAACAGGGUUCGGUCAGCAGAGCCACCAGGCGGAUGUGAGUCUAGCCAGAGGCACUGGGAGGCAGGCAGGAGACCCCACUCACUUGUUCUGGAAGGCUUCCCUGCCCCCUAGACCUGAGCUCUUCCAUCCCUGGCACCCAGGCACGAGAUUUCCUUUCUUCUUUUUUUUUUUUUUUUUUUCCCUGAGAUGGAAUCUCGCUCUGUCGCCCAGGCUGGAGUGCAGUGGUGCGACCUCGGCUCACUAUAACCUCUACCUCCCGGUUCAAGUGAUUCUCCUGCCUCAGCCUCCCAGGUAUCUGGGAUUACAGGCACAUGCCACCAUGCUCGGCUAAUUUUUUUUUGAGACAUCGUCUCACUCUGUCACCCAGGCUGGAGUGCAGUGGCAUGGUCUCGGCUCACUGCACCUCUGCCUCCCGGGUUCAAGCGAUUCUCCUGCCUCAGCCUCCUGGGUAGCUGGGACUACAGGCGCAUGCCACCACACCCAGCUAAUUUUUGUAUUUUUAGUAGAGAUGGGGCUUCACUACAUUGGCCAGGCUGGUCUCAAACUCCUGACCUCGUGAUAUGCCUGCCUCAGCCUCCCAAAGUGCUGGGAUUACAGGCAUGAGCCACCACACUCAGCCACUUGGCUAAUUUUUUUGUAUUUUUAUUAGAGAUGGGGUUUUGCCAUGUUGGCCAGGCUGGUUCGAACUCCUGACCUCAGGUGAUCCACCUGCCUUGGCCUCCCAAAGUGGUAAGAUUACAGGUGUGAGCCACCGCACCCGGCCACAAGAUUUCAUUUUAACUGGGCGCAGGGGUGGGGGAUGCCAAUGGUUUGUUUCAUUAAGUAGGGUGGUAAAAAAUAAUAAUAUUACCACCACUACUCCCACCAUUCAGAAAAAACACCACCAAAGGUAACAAGAAAGGGCUGCCAUCAGAAAGAAGGGCAGGCUUGAAAUGAGUACAUUUGGCUUUUAGAAUAAUUUACUAGAGUGACUACUGGAGUUGUAAACAACCACCACCACCACCACAACAAUACAACAACUUACUACCUUGUCCCUGUUUUUCUCAUUUUGCUGCAAACCAGACAUUGGAAGCCAUCAGACGCAUCCAACACACCCGUCUGACAAGUGGAAAGACUGAGCCCCAGAGAGAGCAGGGACUUGCCCAAGAUCUCACAGGAAAAGUGUCUGUCCAGCUGCUCUGCAAAGCUUGCAGACGCUCCUUCCAUCCUGACCUGGGGGCCAGAACACUCAGAGCCCCAACCCCAAAGCCCAGAGAUGCCAGGGCGAAGUCAGAGGCCAAGAGUCUCAGCUACUUCCUUACCUUCCUGGGAACCUGGCCGGGUGGAUGCCCA